CUGCAAGCUGGAGAGCACACUGAUGCCUUGUAGACAAGCUGCAUGAACCGGCUGAAAUCUCAGGUGGUGAAAGCACUGGACAAAAGGCGGUGAGAACUUUGGCUUUUCUCAAUCAAUAGAGGCCCGAAGGAGGGGCCUCUAUUGAUUGAAAAUUCAACAAGUUCUGGUCCACGGGGCCUGGGAAGAAACUGCUGGCUUCUAGUCAUUCAAAUCACUAAUUUGAAUAGUGAAGAAGUGAGACAGAUUAGAGAGGUAAUAGGAUGGGGAGACACAAUGGGGUGCGUGGGGGGGAGAGAGAGAGAGAGAGAGCGUGCACAGGGAUCAUUUAAAUAGACUAAUUGAGCCUAAUUUGACUAGCAGGAUCCAGAGACAGUGCAGAGAAUUGCCCUGAACUGAUCACAAUUUCUGAAAGCCAGACGCACUCAGCAGUUGUCCCAAGUAAUUACUGAUGUUCAUACCGCACAUUCGGGUUCCCGGAGCUCCUUUCUCCCACAUGAUUUCACAGAGUCCUUGCAAAUUGCAGCCAGAAGCAGGAGACCCAUUUUACCAAUAAGGAGACUACGGUUGAAAAUCCAAGGGCAAAGGGAAGCAGAACUGGAAGGCCCAGCAUCUGACAGGCUGAAGGAGUCUGAAACAGAAUUACCAGGGAUCCUCAAACCCAGCCCUUCUCCUCCCACUCUCAGCCCCUUUCCUGCCAAAAUGUUCAAGCCCAGCCCUGGCCUCAGCUCCUAGCACAAGCAGCCUGGGACCCAGCCAGCCAGCCCCUACCCAGGCUCCCUGGAUCACCUUUUGGAUGCACCUGCUUUCCCGCCUGAAGCCGGCUCAGCCCAGUCCCUGCAGCCAGCCUGGAGUUUCCAGAGCUCAUGCUGCCCCCUAGAGGUCAGCUCCUGCAGCUUUUCUUCUCAGUGUGGGACAGUCCCAGAGGGAAGGGGAUCAAAAGGCUGGGAAUGGCUCUGCUCCUGCACAUGGCACCUCUGGCCAACAAGCACCCAGAGCCCAGCUAGAACCCACUUGGGUGGCAGCACGUGCAAGCGAAAGGAUCUACCUAUUCGAGUGGCUCUGCCCCUCCCCUUGGCCUCCCUAUCUGUAAAAUGGGAAGCAUGAUGAUACCGCCCACACACAGCCUUUGAGAAAACUGACUGAUCACUGGACUAGUAGGAGAUAAUCAUCAUUGUGAUGAUCAUGGCUGUCAUACUGAGCACGUCCUAUGAGCCAGGUACUGUGCUUUGCAUACAUUAUCUCAUUAAAUCUUCCCGAAAAACAAACUUCUGAAGGAGGAACUAUUAGUAUCCUCAUUUUACACAUGAGAGCACUGAAACUCAGA
This 1324-nucleotide long non-coding RNA is filed under the name Homo sapiens (human). RNAcentral's name for it is "HSALNT0097554". The record is from RNAcentral. Lineage: Eukaryota; Metazoa; Chordata; Mammalia; Primates; Hominidae.